Molecule: ribosomal RNA, 484 nt
Filed under: uncultured bacterium
Lineage: Bacteria
Description: partial 16S ribosomal RNA
Rfam family: Bacterial small subunit ribosomal RNA
Source: RNAcentral
AUUGAACGCUGGCGGCAUGCUUUACACAUGCAAGUCGAACGGCAGCGCGGGCUUCGGCCUGGCUGCGAGUGGCGAACGGGUGAGUAAUGCAUCGGAACGUGCCCAUGAGUGGGGGAUAGCCCGGCGAAAGCCGGAUUAAUACCACAAACGACCUGAGGGGGAAAGCGGGGGACCGAAAGGCCUCGGGCUCUUGGAGCGGCCGAUGUCGGAUUAGCUAGUUGGUGGGGUAAAGGCUUACCAAGGCGACGAUCCGUAGCUGGUCUGAGAGGAUGACCAGCCACACUGGAACUGAGACACGGCCCAGACUCCUACGGGAGGCAGCAGUGGGGAAUUUUGGACAAUGGGGGCAACCCUGAUCCAGCCAUGCCGCGUGUGGGAAGAAGGCCUUCGGGUUGUAAAGCGCUUUUGUCCGGGAAGAAAUCCUUUGGGCUAAUACCUCGGGGGGAUGACGGUACCGGAAGAAUAAGCACCGGCUAACUACGUG